This 1836-nucleotide long non-coding RNA is filed under the name Amborella trichopoda. RNAcentral's name for it is "long non-coding RNA (ATRI_LNC001194)". Lineage: Eukaryota; Viridiplantae; Streptophyta; Magnoliopsida; Amborellales; Amborellaceae. The record is from RNAcentral.
AGGAGAGGAGAAUUAAUGAGAUUUGGCCCCUAAGCUCAAGAAUUCAAUUGAUUUUCCCUUGGUUUGGCAAUAUUUUCCGCUACCCCUUUCAUUCCAAGAGAGGAGAGAAAAAAUUUUCUCUAUAAGCCACUACCCCUAGAACUUCCUACUCCUCACUUGGAACCUCCCACUUCUCAUUUGGAACUCUCCACUUCCAACUUGAAACUCUCCACUUCCAACCUAGCCACCGGUUCGGUCCAAGGAGCCCAAUAGGGUUCCUUUCUCUUUCUCUGUCUUCCUCUUCUUUCUCUCUUCUCUCUUUCUUCUCUCUUCCCUCUUUCCCCCUCUCUCUCCUACGACCAAUCGGUAGCCACAGCCCACCUCCUUCACCCCCUCUUUCUUCCACUCUCUCAUUUUCUCACUCUCUUUCUCUCUCUCGGUCUCCCUCUCUCUUCUCUCUCUCUGUCCUACGACCAAUCGGACUGUUUGUAACCCUAAGUUCAAGGAGAGGAGAAUUAAUGAGAUUUGGCCCCUAAGCUCAAGAAUUCAAUUGAUUUUCCCUUGGUUUGGCAAUAUUUUCCUCUACCCCUUUUAUUCCAAGAGAUGAGAGAAAAAACUUUCUCUAUAAGCCACUACCCCUAUAACUUCCCAACUCCUCACUUGGAACCUCCCACUUCUCACUUGGAACUCUCCACUUCCAACCUAGCCACCGGUUCAGUCCAAGGAACCUACUAGGUAACCAUCCCUUUCUCUUUCUCUCUCUUCCUCUUUCUUCUCUAUUCCCUCUCUCUCUCUCCUACGACCAAUCGAUAGCCGUCGGCCCUCCUUCACCCCCUCUUUCUUCCACUCUCUCAUUUUCUCUCUCUUGGUCUCCCUCUCUCUUCUCUCUUCCCUACGGCCAAUCGGGCUGGCAGCUACCCCCUCUUUUCUCCUCUCUUUCUCUCUCUCUUCUCUCCCUCCCUCUCUUCUCUCUCAAUCUCUCCUCUCUCUCCCACGGCCAAUCGAACGUCGGCCCACCUCCUUCACCCCCUCCUUUCUUCUUCUCCCUCGAUCUCUCUCUCAAUCUCUCCUCUCUCUCCCACGGGCAAUGGGGCUGUCGACCAACCUCUUUCACUCCUCUUUCUUCCUCUCUCAUUCUCUCCCUGCCUCUCUCCUCUCUCUCUCCAAUGGCCAAUCGGCCGCCGGCCCACCUCCUUCACCCGCUCUUUCUUCCUCUCUCUCACUCUCUCUUUCUCUCCCCGGUCUCUCUCUUCUCUCUCACAAUCUCUCCUCUCUCUCUCCCACGGCCAAUCGGCCACCGGUGCACCUCCUUCACCCCUCUUUCUUCCUCUCCCCGUCUCUCUCACAAUCUCUCCUCUCUCUCUCCCACGGCCAAUCGGCCACCGGCCCACCUCCUUCACCCCCACUUUUCUUCCUCUCUCUCAUUCUCUUUCUCUUCUCUCUCUCAAUCUCUCCUCUCUCUCUCUCACGACCAAUCAGGCCAACGACUAAGCCGCCAGCCCACCUCCUUCACCCCCUCUUUUUUCCUCUCAUUCUCUCUCGAUCUCUCUUUAUUCCCUCUCUCUCCCUCUUCUCGGGUCGACGACCACUCCUUUUCUCUCCCUCUCCUUCGAUCUCUCUCUCAAUCUCUCCUCUCUCUCCCACGGCCAAUCGACCGCCGGCCCACCUCCUUCACCCCCUCUUUUCUUCUUCUCUCUCAUUCUCUCUUUCUCGAUCUCUCUCUCCCUUUUCUCUUGGUUUUUCUCUCUCUCCCUCAAUCUCUCCUCUCUCUCCCACGGGCAAUCCGGCUGUCAACCAACCUCCUUCACUCGUCUUUCUUCCUCUCUCAUUCUCUCCCUCCCUCUCUUCUCUCUCUCC